This 419-nucleotide unclassified non-coding RNA is filed under the name Hevea brasiliensis (rubber tree). Lineage: Eukaryota; Viridiplantae; Streptophyta; Magnoliopsida; Malpighiales; Euphorbiaceae. The record is from RNAcentral.
UUUGGCACAAAUUAUUGGAAAUUUAUUUUUAAUACCCAUUCGCAUACAUUUUCUAAAUGCAUGAUUACCACACUUACGUUUGUAAUGAAGAAAAUGACGCAUACAGUUGCAUCUAUACAUCACUUAAUUAUGACAAAGUUAUCCUUGUAAGUAUCACUACUAUAUGCCUUCAUGUUCAUCAACCUUAUAUCCGCGAUCAGACGGUUCAGACAAGAAGAAGAAGAUCCACCUUCUGAUACACUUUUUCUUGCUAACUCUGCCAUCCUAGCUGUUGAUUUCACAAACUCCUCCCUCUUAUCCACCAUUAGAUCAUUCACCAUCUUCUCCACAACCCCUCUAUCACACACAUCCUUCAUGUCCAAUCCCAGCUUCCAGACCUCACUCACAAAUCUGCUAUUCACUUGCUGAUCACCAAAGUA